RNAcentral lists this ribosomal RNA (468 nucleotides) under uncultured bacterium. RNAcentral's name for it is "partial 16S ribosomal RNA". It matches the Rfam family "Bacterial small subunit ribosomal RNA", at positions 28 to 507 of the family's 1533-position model. The record is from RNAcentral.
GACGAACGCUGGCGGCGUGCUUAACACAUGCAAGUCGAACGGAAAGGCCCUGCUUUUGUGGGGUGCUCGAGUGGCGAACGGGUGAGUAACACGUGAGUAACCUGCCCUUGACUUUGGGAUAACUUCAGGAAACUGGGGCUAAUACCGGAUAGGAGCUCCUGCUGCAUGGUGGGGGUUGGAAAGUUUCGGCGGUUGGGGAUGGACUCGCGGCUUAUCAGCUUGUUGGUGGGGUAGUGGCUUACCAAGGCUUUGACGGGUAGCCGGCCUGAGAGGGUGACCGGCCACAUUGGGACUGAGAUACGGCCCAGACUCCAUCGUGAGGCAGCAGUGGGGAAUAUUGCACAAUGGGCGGAAGCCUGAUGCAGCAACGCCGCGUGCGAGAUGACGGCCUUCGGGUUGUAAACCGCUUUCGCCUGUGACGAAGCGUGAGUGACGGUAAUGGGUAAAGAAGCACCGGCUAACUACGUG